CGGAGUCGUCCAGUAUUCUUGAGUUCAAAAGAUUUGAGAGCUGAGAGGUGACCACGACUUCGACAAAUCUACACGGCACUAAAUUUCUAACUGUUAAUUGGAAACAUUUAAAAAAGAAGAAAUCGAAAGUGUUACCUAGUUGUUGACGAAAGGUGUCUACAUAGUUAUGGGUUGUCCAUAGCCACUGAAGCUCGAAAGGCCGAUGUGAUUUCACCUAAAAGCUUAUAGAGGGUCGAGCCUCGAAUCAGUCCGGCAGGGUUGAAUAAGUGGAUUAAGUGAGAGUAGUUAACAACUUAAGUAGUGAUUGGUCUAACCAAUCGACACUGACAGAAUACUUCUCAAAAGGAAGUGGAUAAGAAGGGAAACCAUAAUCUGACAAAAGUUCUGUCUUUAUAAGGUGUAAUCUCAGCCC
RNAcentral lists this non-coding RNA (412 nucleotides) under unclassified sequences. Its description in RNAcentral is "Giant, ornate, lake- and Lactobacillales-derived (GOLLD) RNA". It matches the Rfam family "Giant, ornate, lake- and Lactobacillales-derived (GOLLD) RNA". The record is from Rfam by way of RNAcentral.